This is a long non-coding RNA of Carcharodon carcharias (great white shark), 1177 nucleotides long. RefSeq lists it as uncharacterized. The transcript is spliced from 4 exons. The record is from RefSeq and is a predicted model, not a curated record. Lineage: Eukaryota; Metazoa; Chordata; Chondrichthyes; Lamniformes; Lamnidae.
CAAGCGGCAUGAAGACGUCAGGAUGGUGAAGCUAGUGGGGAGGGCGAUAGCAGCAACAACAGAAAUAUAAAAACAAAAAUAAAAAUACCUGGAAAAAUUCAGCAGGUCUGACAGCAUCUGCGGAGAGGAACACAGUUAACGUUUCGAUUCCGUAUGACUCUUCAACAGAACUAAGGAAAAAUAGAAAAGAGAAUCCGCUUGUGCCAUGCCGCCAGCUUUCUGUGACGCCACAUCUGCCGACAUCUCCUGCAAUAUGUCUGGCCAGAGCUGGCAACCCUAUCGUCUCUGAUUCCACCAACCUCAUGGACAGCAAGUUCCAGGAGGUGCAUAAUCGGAGGCAGCAAGAGCUAAUCAGAGGGGGACAAGCAGACCUGCAUAUCCUGACAGUCAUGGACGAAAUAGUGCUGACCAUUAUUGGAAUUUCCAUUGGAGACAGUGGCCAGCAGUGGGGCUGAAAUCAUCAAAGAUUAUCAGUAUCCAUACAUAAUCCUCCUUCUCACAUCCCACCUCACUGUCAUCCCACAAUCUCUUCUAAUCUACAAGCUGCAGAUGGUGUAAGCACCCACAGCUUACCUGCCCCAAUCCUCUCACUACUCUUACUCUAGUGCCUUUCUCCUUUCAGACACUGAAGAUAUACAGCCCAGCCAGGCAGUGCAGGAGCAACAGGAAAGCAGUUGUCAUGCCAGUAAAGUCAGAAGAGACCUAGGGCAAUCUGCAGAAUAAAACCAACAAGACAACAGCUGCAGAGAAAGGAUGUACCACCUUUUGCCUUUUAAGACCUGGGAGGCUUAAAAGCCUUUUUAAAAGCCUCUCAGCCUGACUCCAAUGCUCCGAGUUCAACUGUAAAGAAAUUGGACCUCCUCUACAACAGUCACAAGUGCCUGACUUCAUGACCUGCUGAAUGUUUUCCUCUUCGAAGGAACAAAGCAGUAAUCCUAAUGUCCGAUCCCAGCAAUCUCAAUUUACCUGACCUACAAUUUAAAAGUGGGAAAAGCUUCCCUAGACUCUCAAAGACGUGAACUGUUAACCAUUCUUUUGGUUUAAUACUUGUAGAAGUGCACUUGUUCAACAAUUUCUUGUAUUGUAUAUUGUUUAAUUGUAUCUUUCUUAAGUGUGUUGUGUAACUGAUGUAGCAUUUAGAUCUUUCUUAGUGUGUGAAUAAAUAAUCCUCUAAACA